CUCAGGUGUGCUCCCUCCAAGACUUGAGGAGCUGACAGUGGUAAAACUCCUGCCUGUCCACUAUUACCAGCAGAUGCCAAUAAGUGUAUGGGAGCUGACCAAAGACUUGCUUGUGUGGGCCAGAUGACCUACCCUACAGGCUAUUUCCAGUGGGGACUUGUUGUGACCCUCCAAUGAUCACAUUCUCCAUCUUCACUCUUGUUGUAGAACUUCCUGAAGAAGUUGAAAGCCACCACUGUGUAGAGAUACACCACCACAGCUAACAGGCCAACUGUUAACACCAGCUGGAAGAGAAGAAAGAAAAGACAAGACUACUUUGAUACACAAGGAAGUCUAGAUGGUUGUUCUGUGAUGUAAAGACCAUCAAAUUCCAGCUUCCUGGCCACCUCCUUCUCACGCUUGAAGAUCACCAGU
Thunnus maccoyii (southern bluefin tuna) is the source of this 414-nucleotide long non-coding RNA. RefSeq lists it as uncharacterized. The record is from RefSeq and is a predicted model, not a curated record. The transcript has 4 exons. Lineage: Eukaryota; Metazoa; Chordata; Actinopteri; Scombriformes; Scombridae.